UACGGAGGAGGCGAGCGUUGUUCGGAAUCACUGGGCUUAAAGGGUGCGUAGGCGGGUGACAGGGUGCUUUGUGAAAUCCCCCGGCUCAACCGGGGAAUUGCAGGGCAAACCGGUCGUCUUGAGGUCAGCAGGGGUACCUGGAACUUUGGGUGGAGCGGUGAAAUGCGUAGAUAUCCAAGGGAAUACCGAUGGCGAAAGCGAGGUACUGGGCUGAUACUGACGCUGAGGCACGAAAGCGUGGGGAGCAAACAGG
Molecule: ribosomal RNA, 253 nt
Filed under: uncultured bacterium
Lineage: Bacteria
Description: partial 16S ribosomal RNA
Rfam family: Bacterial small subunit ribosomal RNA
Source: RNAcentral